Erythranthe guttata (spotted monkey flower) is the source of this 1508-nucleotide non-coding RNA. The record is from RefSeq and is a predicted model, not a curated record. NCBI's taxonomy places the organism in Eukaryota, Viridiplantae, Streptophyta, Magnoliopsida, Lamiales, Phrymaceae.
AGAGAGAGAGAGACUAUUAUGGGGGUAUAAUAAUUGAUCUUGACGAAAGUUGUGGAAGGAGAAGGGCCAGGAGGAAAAUGGGAUGAAAAGUCAAUCUAAAAAAAUGGUGUUAAUUGUCCGCCAAAGUAAGAUAUUUUAUACUAUAUUAGCCCGCAAUAGUGAACGACGUAAAUUAAUAGGUAAAAAACCAGGUAGUAGAUUGGGGGUGAUAAUUCCUUUUUUAAAAGUGGAAAACUUGCACAAAUGAAACUAGUGACUCAGUUACCACUUUUGCAGGGCAAUCUUUAAAUAAACCCUAGAUACGUUGUAUUCUUUCUUUCGUUCAUAUUUUAAUAUCAUUAACUCAGAACACUGCCUGAGAGAUUGCUGAUGGCACGAGUGUCGUGCUUUGCCAGAAAGGGAUGUUUUAGACGUAAUAUUCAUAAUUUAAUCGCACGUUACUGAUUAGUGGUUAACCUCAUUAUGUUGGCAUUUUUAUUUAUAUGAGGUCAAUUUAACUGCCUGCAUUUAGAGGUACACAAAGAAUGUGAUUAGUUAUCAACUAGUUAAUAUUGACUUUUUAUUGCAUCAUAUUUAGAUCUAGACGACUUUUAUAAAAUCCCGGGGUGAAUUUUUUUAACCGCAAAAACUUGCCCAAUUUUUACGCAGUUUGAAAAAAUCACGCACGGUUGGAUAAGGAAAUGGAAAAGGAAGUUUGCAAUGCAACAAGAAGAAGAAAUUCCUUUCGAGGACCCGGGAAUCAAUUAUAUAGGGACAGUGCCCUAAACCAACGGUUAUGGUAUUGCACGGAGGGGUGCUGGAUUUAACAUCUCCACUGGCCCUUUUUAGCAUCAAGAAAGCAAAAGAUUUUCCGAGGCUCUCGAUUUUUGCGGUACUGUGAUUCGUUACCGUAUGCAUGGCAAGCCAUUUAUGCACCCCACUCAAAUCAACCUAUGCAAAAGUUUCCCUUUCAGGCUAGUGAAGGCAAAUCAUUUCCAUACGACAAUCAUGUGUUGAGCCCAAUCAGGUUUUUGUCUGAACUCUUCUUAGUGUGCUCACAUUGUUACUUUUUACAUUCACUGUGUGUGUGUGUGUGUGUGUGUGUGUGUGAUAAGGUCAUGAGAUUGGUGGUUUAAGAUAGGAUAAGUUUAUCAUUGAGCCUAAGCUUUCUUGAAAUAUAUAUUAUAAACUUUUUUUUUCACACUUUUUUCAACCAAAAAUUAGUAUAAAAGGACCAAUUUUUUUCUCCCAAUAAAAAGUGUAACGCUAAUUAAUUAUUAAUAAUAAUUGUUUUGCCAAUUUGGUGCAAUAAUGAGGAUUGUAUAAUACUAUCAUAGGUGGGUGCUGCAUUUUUUUUGAAUAAUUAGUAACAAUGUGCUUACGUAGUUGGUAUGAGUUCUUGAUCCCACUAACCAAUGUGGAUAGAAAAAGGUGUUUGUUUCUUAAUAGAAAAUGGGGCACUCCUUUUCUUCACCAAAUUUGUUGUUAACAAAACAUUUUGGUGCUAUUUAAAUUUUUUUUUUUUUUUU